CAGUCGCCACGGUAAUACGAGGGGGGCAAGCGUUGUUCGGAAUUAUUGGGCGUAAAGGGUGCGCAGGCGGUUUCUUAAGUCUGAUGUGAAAGCCCCCGGCUCAACCGGGGAGGGUCAUUGGAAACUGGGAAACUUGAGUGCAGAAGAGGAGAGUGGAAUUCCACGUGUAGCGGUGAAAUGCGUAGAGAUGUGGAGGAACACCAGUGGCGAAGGCGACUCUCUGGUCUGUAACUGACGCUGAGGAGCGAAAGCGUGGGGAGCGAACAGGAUUAGAUACCCCCGUAGUCCCUGUCUCUUAUAC
Molecule: ribosomal RNA, 301 nt
Filed under: uncultured bacterium
Lineage: Bacteria
Description: partial 16S ribosomal RNA
Rfam family: Bacterial small subunit ribosomal RNA
Source: RNAcentral